Molecule: ribosomal RNA, 446 nt
Filed under: uncultured bacterium
Lineage: Bacteria
Description: partial 16S ribosomal RNA
Rfam family: Bacterial small subunit ribosomal RNA
Source: RNAcentral
CCUACGGGUGGCAGCAGUCGAGAAUCAUUCACAAUGGGGGAAACCCUGAUGGUGCGACGCCGCGUGGGGGAAUGAAGGUCUUCGGAUUGUAAACCCCUGUCAUGUGGGCGCAACUUAAAAAGAUAGUACCACAAGAGGAAGAGACGGCUCACUCUGUGCCAGCAGCCGCGGUAAUACAGAGGUCUCAAGCGUUGUUCGGAAUCACUGGGCGUAAAGCGUGCGUAGGCUGUUUCGUAAGUCGUGUGUGAAAGGGGCGGGCUCAACCCUCGGACGGCACAUGAUACUGCGAGACUAGAGUAAUGGAGGGGGAACCGGAAUUCGCGGUGUAGCAGUGAAAUGCGUAGAUAUCGAGAGGAACACUCGUGGCGAAGGCGGGUUCCUGGACAUUAACUGACGCUGAGGCACGAAGGCCAGGGGAGCGAAAGGGAUUAGAUACCCCUGUAGUC